Molecule: non-coding RNA, 359 nt
Filed under: Photobacterium aphoticum
Lineage: Bacteria; Pseudomonadati; Pseudomonadota; Gammaproteobacteria; Vibrionales; Vibrionaceae
Source: RNAcentral
AAGCCCCAAGGAUGUGGGAGUCUCAGGAUGAGACCGGUGUACUAGGAUGGUAUAUCGAACAUGGACUGUGAAGGGAUAGCCGAGGAACGGCUCAGUGGUAAACAGGAAGUUUGCACGUCAGGAUGACACAUGGACCACUUCAGGAUGAAGUCAGGGACACCGCCAGGAAGGUCGAAGAGAGUCAGGACAGGAUGUACUGACGGGUCAGGAAGGCCAAUGGAACACUUCAGGAUGAAGUAAAAAAGGACGAUGCUGAAGGAAUCAGCUGUCAACGGAAUGAUGCAGGGAGCACCAUCGUAGCGGGAUUGCUGCAUGUAAGACCUAAGGGCGCAACGCAAGUUGCGCCCGCUCUUUUAUGG